CCUGUUUUGAUUCCCUUUUUUCCCUUUCUCUUCAACUUUCCUCUCUCUCUCUCGUUGUCUGUCCCCCCCUCCCUCUCUCUCUCUAGGACAAGAUUUUUCCUCUUUAAUCAGGUUUGAGAAACCCACACUUCUAAUAUGCCGAAGCUGCAACCACCGUUUCAGGUUUUCCCUAGAUAAGAUUUCAGGCAAGCUCAAUUUUCCUGCUGGGUUAGUCAUUCUUGAAGAUAAGGGUAGAGAGUGCAAGUUGUUGAAGAAGAAGAAGAAGAAGAAGAAGAAGACGAAGUGAUGGCGGCCUCUUCAUCGUCGGUGGCGCCAUUUUAUCGAUUUCAAGAGGGAGGAGAUCAAUUGAUUCAGAUGGAGCAGCACCGCCAUGCCCCAUCAGCUCCAUUGGCUUCAUCAGCAGCAGCAUCUGCACCUCCGGCUCCAGCUCCAGCUCCCCAGAAAAAGAAGCGAAACCAACCUGGAAAUCCAUAUCCGGACGCGGAGGUGAUAGCGCUGUCGCCCAAGAGCUUGAUGGCGACGAACAGGUUCGUGUGUGAGGUGUGCAAGAAAGGGUUCCAGAGAGAGCAGAACCUGCAGCUGCACCGGAGGGGCCACAACCUGCCAUGGAAGCUCAAGCAGAAGGGCACCAACAAGGAGGCGGUGCGGCGGAAGGUCUACCUAUGCCCCGAGCCCACCUGCGUGCACCAUGACCCGUCCCGCGCCCUCGGCGACCUCACAGGGAUAAAAAAGCACUACUCCCGCAAGCACGGCGAGAAGAAGUGGAAGUGUGACAAGUGCUCGAAGCGGUACGCAGUGCAGUCGGACUGGAAGGCGCACUCCAAGACCUGUGGCACUCGGGAGUACAGGUGUGAUUGCGGCACUCUUUUUUCAAGGCGCGACAGCUUCAUCACUCACCGUGCCUUUUGUGACGCGCUUGCUCAAGAGAAUGCUAGACACCCUCCCGCCUUGAACAGCAUCGGCAACCACUCCAUCUAUGGAAGCACCAACAUGGGGUUGGGAUUGUCGCAAGCGAAUCGCCAAAUACCCUCAAUGAUGCAAGGCCAGGGAAUAAACCAUUCCAACAAUAACGACGUCUCGCCGCUUGGCCGUGCUCGGAGUGGACAAUUAUUUGAUCACCUCCUUGCGCCCUCCAUGGGAACUGCUUCUUCGACGUUUAAUCAACCGCUUCCCUCAAUGGGCUCACCAUCCCCUAAUAAUUUCUUGUUCCAAGAUCAGUCAAAUCAAAGCUACAAUUCUCAGGAGCAAGCAUCACCUCACCAAGGGUUGCUCCAGAACAAGCCCUUCCAUGGACUGAUGAUGCAGCAAUUGAUCCCUGAUCAUGUCAAGAGCAACAACAAUGAUCCAUCACCAUCAUCAUCAUUGGCAAAUAUUUUCAAUCUUGGAAUGCUUUCAAGUAGCAGCUCGAACAGCAACAACAACAGCAGCACCAGCAGCUUACUCAAUUCCGGGCUUUUGGUCCCAGAUCAUCACCGGUUCAAGAACGAGAUCGGAAGCGAAGGAUCGAACCUCUUGCAGAGAAGCAUAACCAGUGAUCAUCAUCAGAUCAGCUCAUCAGGAGUGCCUUCUCUCUAUAGCACUUCACUUCUGCAAAACAGCAACCACCAUGAUUUCUCACCGCCUCACAUGUCUGCAACUGCUCUCCUCCAAAAGGCUGCUCAAAUGGGCUCGGCAACCUCAAGAACGGAUACCAACAACAAUGCCUCUUUCCUAAAAACCUUCGCGAACUACUCUUCCUCAAGCGGCAUCAAAUCCGACCGGUCGCCACUUGCCCCGGUUAGCUUCGCGGGCAUAUUCGGUGGCGACAACAACCUCCAGGAGCUAGUGAACUGCGCCUUCGGAGGUGGGCAAGAUCAUCAUCAUCAAGAAUCAGCCGGGGACGCUUACGACGGGAUCUACGACAACACGAACAAGACCGGGUCGGAGCAGUCGACGACGACCCACAUGGGUCAACAUGGGAUGACGAGGGACUUUCUUGGGGUCGGAGAGAUAGUGAGACGCGUGAGUAAUAACGGCAACGGCAACGGCAACAAUGGAGGGUUUAUGGAUGUGCAGAGAGACGACGAGCAACGACGACAGAAUCAAGAAAAGUAUGGCCUGAUGAUCAGCGACGACAAAGUGAUCAGCUCCUCCUUGGAUUCAGCGCCCACAAGCCAAACCUUCGGAGAUUUCCGUUGAAAAAUCCGAUGAGCUUUCUUUGGGAAGAAAAGACCGAGUACAGAUUCUGACAAAUUCACAAGGCACCACACACUCACAUCACAUUGGAACGCAAAGACUCAGUUAGGACAAUUGCUGAACAGGAACGACGCCGCAUUGGGCAGAUCGAACUCGAAGACGUUGAACUUUUUAUCUCUUUCAUGUUCCCCUUUUCUUCUCAAACUUGUCGGUUGUUUUGUGUAACUUGUUAGUCCCGGUAAGAGGUUGUCUUUUUUCUCCCCCAUACAUUUUAGACUUUCAACAGAGGAAAAGAUCCUUGAAGAACGUUUUGGAGGUAUUUCGAAACACCUAACUUGAGUUUUAAUAUCAUACUAAGGAAAAUUUAAGGGGACUCUUUUUCUGUAAAGUGUUGUGGUAAUCUGUUAUAUCCUAUGAUAACUUCUCAUUUCAGCC
This is an RNA transcript of Syzygium oleosum, 2610 nucleotides long. It is a transcript of the gene named protein indeterminate-domain 5, chloroplastic-like, with no coding region annotated. The transcript is spliced from 5 exons. The record is from RefSeq and is a predicted model, not a curated record. Lineage: Eukaryota; Viridiplantae; Streptophyta; Magnoliopsida; Myrtales; Myrtaceae.